AGUUUGAUCCUGGCUCAGAACGCACGUUCGCGGCGUGGAUCAAGCAUGCAAGUCGAGCGCCGCAGCAAUGCGGAGCGGGCGAACGGGGCAGUAAAGCAUGGGUAACCUACCCUGGGGAUCGGGAUAGCCAUUCUAAACGGAUGGGUAAGCCCGGGCGACAUUGAGCGGGCCGCAUGGCGGCUCAAGAGAGUGAAGGCCACAGGAGGGGCUCAUGUCGUAUUAGCUAGUUGGUGGGGUAACGGCCCACCAAGGGCGACGAUGCGUAGGGGUGUGAGAGCCACGACCCGCGUCACUGGCACUGAGACACUGGCCAGACUUCUACGGGAGGCUGCAGUCGAGGAUCUUCGGCAAUGGGGGCAACCCUGACCGAGCGACGGCGGGUGGACGACGAAGGCCUUCGGGUUGUAAAGUCCAAAGGUACCAAGGAAGAUUGACUGAGGUACAGUAAGCACGGGCUAAGUUCGUGCCAGCAGCCGCGGUAAGGCGAACCGUGCAAA
RNAcentral lists this ribosomal RNA (497 nucleotides) under uncultured bacterium. Its description in RNAcentral is "bacterial SSU rRNA". It matches the Rfam family "Bacterial small subunit ribosomal RNA", at positions 10 to 538 of the family's 1533-position model. The record is from RNAcentral.